RNAcentral lists this ribosomal RNA (250 nucleotides) under uncultured bacterium. RNAcentral's name for it is "partial 16S ribosomal RNA". It matches the Rfam family "Bacterial small subunit ribosomal RNA", at positions 524 to 773 of the family's 1533-position model. The record is from RNAcentral.
UACGGAGGGGGCUAGCGUUGUUCGGAAUUACUGGGCGUAAAGCGCGCGUAGGCGGCUUUGUAAGUUAGAGGUGAAAGCCCGGAGCUCAACUCCGGAAUAGCCUUUAAGACUGCAUCGCUAGAACGUUGGAGAGGUAAGUGGAAUUCCGAGUGUAGAGGUGAAAUUCGUAGAUAUUCGGAAGAACACCAGUGGCGAAGGCGACUUACUGGACAACUGUUGACGCUGAGGUGCGAAAGCGUGGGGAGCAAAC